CCGAGCUUCCUCCACGCGCCGUGCAGUCUCCACGGCGACGCUGCGUUCCCGACUCGGAGCCCCCAGCUCCGCGCGAGCAGCUAGCCGGGCUGGCUCUCGGUGUGUGCCCUUCGGAUGGUCUGCUGAAGAGGGCCGCCAGCUGACAGCAAAGAACAAACAGAAUGGCAGAUUGCUAAUGUUUGAUCCAAACGAAAAAGUGAUGAUUGAAUCAAACGAAGCAAUGUCAGAGUAAGAAGAUGUCUUUGAUUGUGCAGCUGAUCUCUCCCAUGCCUUUUAAGCAAUUAGAACUAGAUAAUGCAGCCAUUUGUCACCCAAUUAAAUUUGAAAGGCCAGAAAUGCAUGGAUUAGCACUUCAGCUUUUGCUGCAGUCAAAGCAAUUGU
RNAcentral lists this long non-coding RNA (381 nucleotides) under Homo sapiens (human). Its description in RNAcentral is "non-protein coding lnc-ERICH2-1:9". Lineage: Eukaryota; Metazoa; Chordata; Mammalia; Primates; Hominidae. The record is from RNAcentral.